Molecule: signal recognition particle RNA, 97 nt
Filed under: Hydrocarboniphaga daqingensis
Lineage: Bacteria; Pseudomonadati; Pseudomonadota; Gammaproteobacteria; Nevskiales; Nevskiaceae
Description: Bacterial small signal recognition particle RNA
Rfam family: Bacterial small signal recognition particle RNA
About the family: The signal recognition particle (SRP) is a universally conserved ribonucleoprotein involved in the co-translational targeting of proteins to membranes.
Source: Rfam by way of RNAcentral
GCGCCGGCCCUCCGCGACGGAAAGCCGUGAACCCCGCCAGGCCCGGAAGGGAGCAACGGUAGCGGUGAUGCCGGGUGCCGGAGUCAGCUGGCGCGGA